RNAcentral lists this transfer RNA (73 nucleotides) under Caldilineaceae bacterium. RNAcentral describes it as "tRNA-Ile". It matches the Rfam family "tRNA". From Rfam's summary of the family: Transfer RNA (tRNA) molecules are approximately 80 nucleotides in length. Their secondary structure includes four short double-helical elements and three loops (D, anti-codon, and T loops). Further hydrogen bonds mediate the characteristic L-shaped molecular structure. tRNAs have two regions of fundamental functional importance: the anti-codon, which is responsible for specific mRNA codon recognition, and the 3' end, to which the tRNAs corresponding amino acid is attached (by aminoacyl-tRNA synthetases). tRNAs cope with the degeneracy of the genetic code in two manners: having more than one tRNA (with a specific anti-codon) for a particular amino acid; and 'wobble' base-pairing, i.e. permitting non-standard base-pairing at the 3rd anti-codon position. Lineage: Bacteria; Bacillati; Chloroflexota; Caldilineae; Caldilineales; Caldilineaceae. The record is from RNAcentral.
GGGCCGGUAGCUCAGCGGUUAGAGCGGCGAUCUUAUCAAUCGUGCGGCGUGGGUUCAAUUCCCGCUCGGCCUA